AUGGUCGCAAUGGCUGCCGCGAGUCUCCCCGAUCGAUGUCGCCGUCUGUCUGUGCUCCGAGCUCGAUGGUUCUCCGGCCAACAAGCGUUUGUUCGUGUCGCCACCAGCGUUAGGCGUUGCUCGCCACUGCCCCAGAUUGCCGCCGUACAUAGCGCUCCACCGUGCCCCCCACUGGAUCCCCUUCCUCCUGGUCAUGCCAUAUUGCCGUGCGUCAUCGUCGCGCCCAAGCUCUAUGAGAUACUUGAAGAGGGAGUGCUUGGGCUGCUUCAUGUAUUGUCUCAAAACAACUUGCCGUGCCAUAUUGCCGUGCUUCAUGUAUUGUCUGAAAACUUGAGAGUUUCAAGGAUCCCAAAUAUUCCAAAGGAUGAGAAAAGUGAUGAAACGCUUCCAAGUUUGAUGUCCUGGCAGUUUGGAGUAUUCCAGUAG
This 426-nucleotide ribosomal RNA is filed under the name Triticum aestivum (bread wheat). RNAcentral's name for it is "partial small subunit ribosomal RNA". Lineage: Eukaryota; Viridiplantae; Streptophyta; Magnoliopsida; Poales; Poaceae. The record is from RNAcentral.